CCCCAAUAGCUAGCCCACCCUUAAAAAACAACAACCCCCAUUAAUACCCCCAAAAUUUCAAGCCCUACAAAAACAAACCAUUUUUCCCCCCAAGUAUGUGAGACAAAAAAGGACCUAUGGCGCAAUAGAAAAAGUACCGCAAGGGAAAGCUGAAAGAGAAAUGAAAUAACCCAGUAAAGGAGAGAAAAGCAGAGUUUAUACCUCGUACCUUUUGCAUCAUGAAUUAGCCAGAACCCCUCAAGCAAAGAGACCUUUAUGUUUGAUACCCCGAAACUAAGCGAGCUACUCCGAGACAACCUAAUAUAGGGUGAACCCGUCUCUGUGGCAAAAGAGUGGGAAGAGCUCUGAGUAGAGGUGAUAGACCUACCGAGCUUAGUUAUAGCUGGUUGCCUGAGAUUUGAAUAGAAGUUCAACCUUUUGACUUUUUUAAUCAACUAGGGAGCCCCCUUGCCAGAACAAAAGAACGACAAAAGAGCUAUUCAAGAGAGGGACAGCUCUCUUGAAGAAAGAUACAACUUUAAUAGACGGCUAAAGAUCAAAAGACUUAAGGAGCCAUACCCAGGUGGGCCUAAAAGCAGCCACCCUAAUCAAAAGCGUUAAAGCUCAAGUAUAUACUCCCCUAAAAUCCCGACAACACUAUCUUAAGCCCCUUUAUAUAUCAGGCCCUCCCAUGCACACAUGGGAGAGAUACUGCUAACAUGAGUAAUAAGAGAGCCAAGACUCUCUCUAAACCCCCGUGUAAAUCAGAACGAACUAACACUGAAAAUUAACGCCCCCAAAACAGAGGGUAUUGAGAUAAGCCCCUUAAAACUAGAAGCCCCCUCAAAAAUUAGCGUUAACCCCACACAGGUGUGUUUUACGAAAGACAAAAAGAAAAAGAAGGAACUCGGCAAACCAUGGCCUCGCCUGUUUACCAAAAACAUCGCCUCUUGCCCCUCGAGUAUAAGAGGUCCCGCCUGCCCUGUGACGAAAGUUUAACGGCCGCGGUAUUUUGACCGUGCGAAGGUAGCGUAAUCACUUGUCUUUUAAAUAAGGACCAGUAUGAAUGGCAUAACGAGGGCUAAGCUGUCUCCUUUUUCUAGUCAAUGAAAUUGAUCUGCCCGUGCAGAAGCGGACAUAUAUACAUAAGACGAGAAGACCCUAUGGAGCUUCAGACACCAGGACAGCCUACGUUAAACCCCCUAAAUAAACAGGAAUGAACCAAAUAGUCCCUGCCCGCAUGUCUUUGGUUGGGGCGACCGCGGAGUAAAAAGAAACCCCCACGUGGAAAGGGCACACCCCUGAGGCCAGAGCCACAGCUCAAGCAAACAGAAUAUCUGACCUACAAGAUCCGGCAAUGCCGAUCAACGGACCCAGUUACCCUAGGGAUAACAGCGCAAUCCCCUUUUAGAGCCCAUAUCGACAAGGGGGUUUACGACCUCGAUGUUGGAUCAGGACUUCCUAAUGGUGCAGCCGCUAUUAAGGGUUCGUUUGUUCAACGAUUAAAGUCCUACGUGAUCUGAGUUCAGACCGGAGAAAUCCAGGUCAGUUUCUAUCUAUGAGUACACUCUUUUCUAGUACGAAAGGACCGAAGAGAGGGGGCCCAUGCUUUAAGUAUGCCCUGCCCCCACCUAAUGACCCCCACUAAAAGGGGUAAAGGGGGGUACACCCUCUGCCUGAGAAAAAGGCAA
This 1670-nucleotide ribosomal RNA is filed under the name Lesueurigobius friesii (Fries's goby). Its description in RNAcentral is "16S ribosomal RNA". It matches the Rfam family "Bacterial large subunit ribosomal RNA". The record is from RNAcentral. Lineage: Eukaryota; Metazoa; Chordata; Actinopteri; Gobiiformes; Gobiidae.